ACGUGGCCUUCACAGCUGGCCUGAGUGAGCACAGCGGGCACUGAGGGGAACAAAGCGUGGGGGCCCUCCAGCAGCCCUUAUCAUCACCUGCCAGCCACCUGCCUCAGGCUGGGCAGGCUGCACCCUGGGCUUUCUGCUAUUGGCUUCCCAGAUCCCUGGAACUCCAGCUGGGGCCCUGGGCUGUGGUCUGACUUGAUCCAGAAUUUAAUGAGUAGAAGGAAUGGAAGAAGGCUCAUUCCCCCAGCCCUGGACACAGACAGCAGACACAGAGGCCUCCAGCACAGUGAAGCCUGUGGAGCAGUCCCCUCCAGAAUGCAACCUUGUAGGAGGGCAGCACCAUGGGCCAGCAACUCAGGGUGAUCAGCAAAUAAAUGAUCAAUACUAAGACACCAAGGCCCUAAGAAGUCACUGGAUGGGGUCCCGGGUGGAUUUCUAGCUCUACUGUCCACUGGCUGUGAGACCAUGAACAGGGUGCAUUGCCCAAGUCCACUCAGCUGGAAACAGGCUCUUUGAGAUCUGACCCAACUCCUGGCACGUUGGAGAUGUCCCAUAGACCAGUGUUGAAUGAAUGGGUAAGUUAAUGAGUCCAUGUACACAGGCUUUGGCAUGGCCUGGCUUAGGCAGCCCUGACCCUCACUAUCCUUCAGACCCAACACAUUACAAACAGGAUCCUUUGUCCCUUUCUUAGC
This 689-nucleotide long non-coding RNA is filed under the name Homo sapiens (human). Its description in RNAcentral is "HSALNT0311652". The record is from RNAcentral. Lineage: Eukaryota; Metazoa; Chordata; Mammalia; Primates; Hominidae.